CUACAUCAGCAAGUUGAUUCAAUAAUCCAUCCUCUGUUUUGCCCCUCGUUGGUUAGUUAUUCAGUUAUGGGCCGGGGUGGGAGUGGGAGUAUUGAUGGCUGUUUGUUCUUCACAAAGUUUUGGGUGAAAGAGCAAAUUGGCAGCAAUUAGUGAGAUCCUACUGGUGGUGGUUUGCGAGUACACGUGAAUAGGAAAUCAGAUGAGAUCAAAUCUCAUGAUUCCAUCUCGUCCCGGUCCUCGGCGGACGGGGUGUCAGGGUGAGUUGUUCGUUUGUUCGGCCCUCAUUUCGUGGUGUUCAUGAAAUGUGCAACACAUGUACCAUGAAGGGGGUUAUUUAGUUUCAUUUUCUCGAAAUAUACCAUACUCUCUCCAUAUCAAAAUAUAUUCUAAAAUAUAAGGCAUUUUUUAUUGUUCAUAAAUCUCUCAUAAAAUAUUUAGUCCAUGGUUACAAAUCAUAAUAUACGAAAGUGAGUUUGAAUAUGGAUAUAAGAGUGUCUAUUUUAUGUACUUUAAAUUAUGCUUUAUUUGACUAAUUAUAGGUCAAAGAUUAUUAACAGCGACUAACACAAAUACUGGCAUUGCACUACGUGCAUAUCAACAUUUAAAAAAUAUUAAGUGCUAAUGUACAUUAUUAUGAUUCUUAACAGAGGAAUGAGUGUGAAGCUCAAGACCCCAUUUAAUGGAGCCGUCUAUGAUGCAUGCGAUGAGGUCUUAUUAUUGAUGAUGCCAUGUACUACAUUUUGUUUGCAUAAUCCAUCACCUAGCAUGUAUUUGUUAUAACCGAGCACCGCAACGAAUCUGUUAUUUACCUUAGGAGGGUAAGAAAAAACACAAUCAAUGAUAUUAUACAUAAUUCUAGACAUUGUUUUAGAGUAUGUUCUGAAGUAUAUUUUUCUUUCAGUAAAUGUUGGAAAUGUCUAUGUACUUUUUUCUCCCAAUAUGUUAUGGUCAUCUUCCUGCUAUGCAUAUGAAUUUCAUGGCCAACUUAGCAGCUGGUGGUUGGUGAUCCUUUCUACUUCCUCGCCGGCUCGAUAAAUCUCCCGGUUUCCUUCUCCUACCACUCUUCCUCCCUUGUGCUCUGUAACUUGGCCAUUGAUGUGGAUGUUAGUAAUUAGAUGGUGAUAUUUGUUUUAUAGAAAUACUUAUUUUUUUGCGGGUGUUUAGAAAUACUUGUUAGUUGCACAGAUGGAUCCUGCAAGGAAUAAUUUUACAAUGGAAAUGCAUAUCUAUUGAAUUGAUGACUAAACAAGUUUGCGGGCACAUCUAUGAAAAUACAGGCAAAUACAGACAUAGGUUUAAGGGUUCUCAUUCAUUUAAAUCUCAAUGUUGAGAGAAGCCGAUCUCUGGAUA
Molecule: long non-coding RNA, 1350 nt
Filed under: Triticum aestivum (bread wheat)
Lineage: Eukaryota; Viridiplantae; Streptophyta; Magnoliopsida; Poales; Poaceae
Description: long non-coding RNA (TAES_LNC022932)
Source: RNAcentral